GACGAACGCUGGCGGCGUGCCUAAUACAUGCAAGUUGAGCGAUGAAGAUUGGUGCUUGCACCCAUUUGAAGAGCAGCGAACGGGUGAGUAACGCGUGGGGAAUCUGCCUUUGAGCGGGGGACAACAUUUGGAAACGAAUGCUAAUACCGCAUAACAACUUUAAACAUAAGUUUUAAGUUUGAAAGAUGCAAUUGCAUCACUCAAAGAUGAUCCCGCGUUGUAUUAGCUAGUUGGUGAGGUAAAGGCUCACCAAGGCGAUGAUACAUAGCCGACCUGAGAGGGUGAGCGGCCACAUUGGGACUGGGAAACGGCCCAAACUCCUACGGGAGGCAGCAGUAGGGAAUCUUCGGCAAUGGACGAAAGUCUGACCGAGCAACGCCGCGUGAGUGAAGAAGGUUUUCGGAUCGUAAAACUCUGUUGGUAGAGAAGAACGUUGGUGAGAGUGGAAAGCUCAUCAAGUGACGGUAACUACCCAGAAAGGGACGGCUAACUACGUG
RNAcentral lists this ribosomal RNA (497 nucleotides) under uncultured bacterium. Its description in RNAcentral is "partial 16S ribosomal RNA". It matches the Rfam family "Bacterial small subunit ribosomal RNA", at positions 28 to 507 of the family's 1533-position model. The record is from RNAcentral.